Long non-coding RNA from Pristis pectinata (smalltooth sawfish), 820 nucleotides. RefSeq lists it as uncharacterized. The record is from RefSeq and is a predicted model, not a curated record. The transcript has 3 exons. NCBI's taxonomy places the organism in Eukaryota, Metazoa, Chordata, Chondrichthyes, Rhinopristiformes, Pristidae.
GCUGCGACGGCGGGAGAUUUGGCGCCUUGCGGAUCCUUGUCACCGGAUGCGAUAAUUUGCCAGCGUGUUAACUGUUGUGAUAGAUGGAAAACGGUAGUCAGUGCGCGUAAUAAAUCAUCAGAAACAGCAGACAUGACUAUUGACCGUAGGGCCCUGGGGAGUGUUGUAGACGAGGGUCCUUGGAGACACGGGGCUGCGGAUGAUGGACUCUGGAGCAACACACAGUCUGCUGGAGGAGCUCAGUAGGUCGAGCAGCAUCUGUCCGAGGAAAACAAUUGGGGAUGUUUCGGGUCCUGAUGCAGGGUUGCGAGAUCAUGGUGCGGUUGUACAAGAAGCUGAUUCUUUGUCAGGAUUUUGGAGAUACAAGAUACCAGGAGUCUGCUUAGGUGGGAUUCCUGGAUAAAUUCUCUGGAAAAGGCUGUUCCCAGGGACACACACCGAGUCAAACAUCAAGUGCUGCUGGAAGAUCGUCAACUCAGUGAAAGACACACAUUGAUCUGCCCAAAACUUGGUGUUCCAGUACAACGAGAUGUCCUCAGGAGAAUGCUGCUGACUGGCACAUUCCAGGCUGUAGGAGUACAUUCUGAGGGACACACUGAAGCACAGUGCAGUCACUGCAAAGGCUGAGGGGAAGGACUGCAAGGGAAGAUCCCACUGCCAUUAGAUACUGAGGAGCUGAGUCCUAUGUAACAGCCCCACCAACACUGGAUGGACGCAUUGUUCAAAGAGGCCACGGGAGUGGCAUUGGUGCCUUGUAUACAGAAUGUGUUAACUUGAUGACACUAUGAAUGUAACUAAAGAACACAUCGAUUGUUUUGGA